UAGGGAAUCUUCCACAAUGGACGCAAGUCUGAUGGAGCAACGCCGCGUGAGUGAAGAAGGUUUUCGGACCGUAAAGCUCUGUUGUUGGUGAAGAAGGAUAGAGGUAGUAACUGGCCUUUAUUUGACGGUAAUCAACCAGAAAGUCACGGCUAACUACGUGCCAGCAGCCGCGGUAAUCGUAGGUGGCAAGCGUUGUCCGGAUUUAUUGGGCGUAAAGCGAGCGCAGGCGGAAGAAUAAGUCUGAUGUGAAAGCCCUCGGCUUAACCGAGGAAUUGCAUCGGAAACUGUUUUCUUGAGUGCAGAAGAGGAGAGUAGAACUCCAUGUGUAGCGGUGGAAUGCGUAGAUAUAUGGAAGAAUACCAGUGGCGAAGGCGGCUCUCUGGUCUGCAACUGACGCUGAGGCUCGAAAGCAUGGGUAGCGAACAGGAUUAGAUACC
This 437-nucleotide ribosomal RNA is filed under the name uncultured bacterium. RNAcentral describes it as "partial 16S ribosomal RNA". It matches the Rfam family "Bacterial small subunit ribosomal RNA", at positions 355 to 786 of the family's 1533-position model. The record is from RNAcentral.